Molecule: ribosomal RNA, 617 nt
Filed under: uncultured bacterium
Lineage: Bacteria
Description: bacterial SSU rRNA
Rfam family: Bacterial small subunit ribosomal RNA (bases 1-517)
Source: RNAcentral
CCUACGGGAGGCAGCAGUGGGGAAUCUUGCGCAAUGAGCGAAAGCCUGACGCAGCCAUGCCGCGUGAAUGAUGAAGGUCUUAGGAUUGUAAAAUUCUUUCACCGGGGACGAUAAUGACGGUACCCGGAGAAGAAGCCCCGGCUAACUUCGUGCCAGCAGCCGCGGUAAUACGAAGGGGGCUAGCGUUGCUCGGAAUUACUGGGCGUAAAGGGAGCGUAGGCGGAUAGUUUAGUCAGAGGUGAAAGCCCAGGGCUCAACCUUGGAAUUGCCUUUGAUACUGGCUAUCUUGAGUGUGGGAGAGGUAUGUGGAACUCCGAGUGUAGAGGUGAAAUUCGUAGAUAUUCGGAAGAACACCAGUGGCGAAGGCGACAUACUGGCCCAUUACUGACGCUGAGGCUCGAAAGCGUGGGGAGCAAACAGGAUUAGAUACCCUGGUAGUCCACGCUGUAAACGAUGAGUGCUAGUUGUCGGCAGCAUGCUGUCGGUGACGCAGCUACGACAUAAGUCGACGUCCGCCGUCGGGAGGUACGGUCGGCGAAGAAGUUAAACGUUAAAGUUAGUUAAGUUAGUUACGGCGUGAGACGUUCGCCGACGGACGACGACGAGGGGAGGUUAGG